Molecule: unclassified non-coding RNA, 316 nt
Filed under: plant metagenome
Description: partial contains 5.8S ribosomal RNA, internal transcribed spacer 2, and large subunit ribosomal RNA
Rfam family: 5.8S ribosomal RNA (bases 1-105)
Source: RNAcentral
GAAAUGCGAUAACUAGUGUGAAUUGCAGAAUUCCGUGAAUCAUCGAGUCUUUGAACGCACAUUGCGCCCCCUGGUAUUCCGGGGGGCAUGCCUGUCCGAGCGUCAUUGCUGCCCAUCAAGCACGGCUUGUGUGUUGGGUCGUCGUCCCCUCUCCGGGGGGGACGGGCCCCAAAGGCAGCGGCGGCACUGCGUCCGAUCCUCGAGCGUAUGGGGCUUUGUCACCCGCUCUGUAGGCCCGGCCGGCGCUUGCCGAACGCAAAUCAAUCUUUUUCCAGGUUGACCUCGGAUCAGGUAGGGAUACCCGCUGAACUUAAGC